This 777-nucleotide ribosomal RNA is filed under the name uncultured Ascomycota. RNAcentral describes it as "LSU rRNA". It matches the Rfam family "Eukaryotic large subunit ribosomal RNA", at positions 399 to 1196 of the family's 3401-position model. The record is from RNAcentral. Lineage: Eukaryota; Fungi; Ascomycota.
GUGAAAUUGUUGAAAGGGAAACGCUUGAAGUCAGUCACGUUUGCUUGGACUCAGCCUUACUUCGGUUUGGUGCAUUUCCUUGCAGACGGGCCAGCGUCCAUGUCAAUUGCCGGAAAAGGGGUGAGAGAAUGUGGCUCCUUUGGGAGUGUUAUAGCUCUCACUCGUAUGCGGGGAAUGAUAUGGAGUGGUACAGCACACUUCGGUGGUGCUUGUGCUGGCAUAAUGGCUUUAAACGACCCGUCUUGAAACACGGACCAAGGAGUCUAACAUGUCUGCGAGUAUUUGGGUGGAAAACCCAGGUGCGUAAUGAAAGUGACAGCUGGGAACCCCUUCUGGGAGGCACCGGCACCCCGAGCUGACCUUCUGUGACGCAUCGGAGGCAGAGCAUAUAUGUUGGGACCCGAAAGAUGGUGAACUAUGCCUGAAUAGGGCGAAGCCAGAGGAAACUCUGGUGGAAGCUCGUAGCGAUUCUGACGUGCAAAUCGAUCGUCAAAUUUGGGUAUAGGGGCGAAAGACUAAUCGAACCAUCUAGUAGCUGGUUCCUGCCGAAGUUUCCCUCAGGAUAGCAGAAACUCGUAUCAGUUUUAUGUGGUAAAGCGAAUGAUUAGAGACCUUGGGGAUGAAACAUCCUUAAUCUAUUCUCAAACUUUAAAUAUGUAAGCUCAGGAUGCUUGCUUAAUUGAAGCACCUGCAAAUGAGAGUUUCUAGUGGCCAUUUUUGGUAAGCAGAACUGGCGAUGCGGGAUGAACCGAACGCGAGGUUAAGGUGCCGGAAUAC